Molecule: long non-coding RNA, 32713 nt
Filed under: Trifolium pratense (red clover)
Lineage: Eukaryota; Viridiplantae; Streptophyta; Magnoliopsida; Fabales; Fabaceae
Description: long non-coding RNA (TPRA_LNC001789)
Source: RNAcentral
UUUCGAUUAUCUAUUGAGAUUGAGAACAAGGAAAAGAACUAUUAUUACAACAAGUUACAACACAACAACUUGCCACAACAAUUCCAAGGCAUGCAGAUUAUUCAGUUUAAAUGCAUAAUAAUCACUUGUGAUAGUAAAAUGUAAGGUUGCAACAAGCUUUCAACAACAAUAACACUCAUUCAACUCAACAAAGAUUCCACAUAUAAGUUAUUGCUUCACAGUGUAUCAUCUAAAUUCUUGAAAGUUAACAUGACCGGUUGCUUGAGCGUGCUCCGCUGCUUCCUGAAUAUAUUCACAGAAAAAUCAGUCCUCAAGUCAGAAUCAUAUAAUGAGUGAAUCAUCGGUUUAGUUACCGCAAUAGUAAUUUGACUGAAGAAUAUUCAGUUUUAGAGAGUAUUUUGAAACUUCGUUAAAUUCGUUUCUAGGGACUAAAUAAAGUAGCAAGUAAAAUUUCAGGACUGAAUUGAUGAUUCACUCUUAUAUAACACAUAAAGAAAAAAAUCAGGUAAUGAGGAAUGACCUUCUGACCAAUAACUCCAAUUUGGCAUACGCCACAGCGCAGAGUGAAGUUGGUUGUGUCGGUGAAUCUCCGUUUCCUGAGAAUGAGAAUCCAUAAUAUUAGCACUGGUAAGGGAUACCGAAAGCAUAAAUAAUUCGGAGAGGCAACUUAACAUGAUGAUAAUCAAACUAAGUUGAGUAGAAACUUUCAAAAAAAGAACACCAUGCAACACAACCAAACACUUACACGAAACAAAAUGAAAUAGCGGUAAUUCACUUCUCAAGCCAGGAUAAAAAUGUGUGAAGCAAGAGAACCAAUCAACGAGUAUAAUUUAUGGUAUAUGAAAUUACAUACAGCUAAAGCAUCGUAGUGGAGACCAUCAUAAAUCAGCAUCACUCUUUCAGAAUAGUUACCUUCCUGUCAAAAGUAUUUGGCAAAAAAAGAAGACAGAAAAGUUCAGUUACAGGAGCUUAACAAAACUUGAGAACAUAUAGAACUGCAUCUAAGUGUCUAACCUGACCAUACAAAUCACACCGCGUUGUCUGAAUACCAUAUGCUGCAAUCUCGCGUCCAUAAUAAUCUGCUAAUAUUGAAAUUUCAAUUGCACCUUCACAAUGGAAUAUAGCUUCAUUAGCACAUCAAUGUCCAAAGUCAAAACUAAUGCAAAAACUAAUAGUAUUUUACUGCUAAAUUUUCUGACUGAAGAGUUUAAAAUGCCCUUUGAAACUCAUUUUACGAUCAUCAACCACCAAUCUCCAAAAUCCAUUGCCUUAUUCAAAAAAUUAGUACUUCAUUGCUAGAACAAAAACAACUGAAGUUUAAUUACGAUUGUUGCAGAACAUUGUCUAGUUUAUCCAGAUGUUCAGAUACGGAAUUCCUAAUUUAUUCUUUAUUCAUCUUAAGAUUUGAGAAAAAGAAUCUAAUGCACUCGUUAGUACUUGGUAUAUAUUUAUCUUGGCAAAGUUUAUCAAAAGCCAAAAUGUAAGGAUUAUAGAAUCGAAAACAACCUAAAUUUGAGGCCCAUAUCAUACUAGAACAUCGAAAGUAGCAGUUUCAACUUGCAAAACAAAUAUUACUGUAAUAACUAUUUCCUAAGGCUUCUAUGGUACUUCAAAGUUGAGUUUUUGCAAAAGAAAAUCAUUCAAAUGUACAUUCAUUUAUUUAUUAAGGAUUCUUCUUAAAAUUCUGCGCGUAUUAUACAUGACUAAAAACUAAAUAUACUUCAUGGGUUUUAUAGUCCAGCCAAACAUACAUGUCAGUGUAUUUCUAGUUUUCUAACAAACUUAACAAGCCAGAAUCAAAGUUUACAUAAUGAUUACCCUAUAUCUGGUUUUCUACUAGAGAACCUAAUUGACACAACAUGCAUUGAAAUGAAUCAUUCACAUAAACCUGUAUCUGGUAUUCACUCUUUGCAUAUUCAUCGCAAAUUAAAUACAAAAAACAUAGACAAAAUAAACUACCUGUCUCAACUCAGCAGCUUUGGUUUGGUCCCGAUCCAUAACAUAUCUACAAAUAGCAAACAUAACAAAAAUGAAUAAAAGAAUAUUACAAGAGAAACUAUUUGUGCACUAUUUACACUUUAGGUUGAAAGUGUUGCCCUAACACAUGUCAAUGUACGACACCAACACAAGACAUGCACAUAGGUUACAUUUAAUCACUAUCAUUCUCUUAAAUUAUUAUUGAUAUUGAUAUCCAAGUGCCCGUGUCAAUGUUGUGUCCGGUGUGCAUGUCUAUAUCGAUGCUUAAAUUAAGCAAACAUAACAAAAAUGCUGUUGGGUAAAAGGUGUGAUCCGUAUAUUAUUCAUGAUAGGCAAAUGCCUUAUAUAGACUUUACACGUACUAGCUUGUUACACAAGCACUUAUAAACACACUUGGCUAAGGACCUAUGUACACUAUGAACCAGACAUCAGACCCUGCAUCAGUCCUAACAACCCGUAGUACAUAAUGUACUAACAUUCUGUGCAGCAUCUGUCCUAACAAAUGUCAAUGUACGACACCAACACAACACUGGCACACAGGUUACAUUUAAUCACUAUCAUAUUCUUAAAUUAUCCUCGAUAUCGAUGUCUAAGUGUCCAUGUCAGUGUUGUGUCCGGUUUGCAUCUCUACACCGAUGCUUCAUAGUUUAUACAAAGCUGAUGCUAUAAAGAUACUCACCCAACUUCAUUCAGAAGGAAUAACCCUUCUCACAACAACACCUUCCAUGAUGAUAACUAGUAACCUGAAAAUCAAUCACAAACACAAUCAUGGUUCAAAAUUCAAAUGAACUAUUAAUCUAUAUAAAAAUAUAAACUUUAUUUAACAUCUUUCUCCAACAAUUCAAUAUGAAGCAACCCAUUAUUCUCAAUUUGAUAAUUAACAACAAAUUAAGAAGAAAACCUAAAAUUCAACCAAAAAAAAACAGUGAAUUUUGAUUGCUACCUCCGAUAGAUAUGCCUGUAGCAUUUCAUAUUUGCCUGAAACUUUUUGAUAUUCUUCUGGUAUAGUGAAGGAACCAGCCGUGAUGCAGAGUUUGCAGAGCCAAAACAAAAAGGAGGAAGAUAAAAGUCCCAAGAAGUUUCAGCACUAGAUGCCAUGUUUGAUAUGGGAAAAUACAUCAAGAGAAAGAAACUCUCCAUUUAUACAAGAUGAAGAUGCCUCUUUAGAUAGGAAGCCACAACUGAUAGAACUGAUGUAACAAAACUAUAGAAGCCGCAGGUUCCGCCUUGACUGGGCGGUGCUCUGACCAAUUGAACUACAAUCCAACUAUUCAGACGGUUAAGUUAAUUACAACGGAAAAGAUGCCUUGUAAUUAACUGAGCUACUCCAAUGAUAUUAUUAUACACGAUAUUUCCAUCUAGACAAUGCAGUUGUUUUUACACUUCGUUCAUAAAGUCACUAAGGAUCAUUAGGAACAUAGAUAUAUCCAAACUUUCUAGCAUUUCAUUAUUCAUGAUGUUAUCAUCUAAGUACAAAUGGUCUCCGUGUCAUUAAGUUUAUGAAGUUUACACUGAUUAUAUUUUUCCAGCUUAUACUACUCAUCAAGCAAAAUGACUUUGACAGAAAUGCUGAAUGACAUUGAGCAUCAUCCUAUGCAAAAGCAGUGUACUGUUGAAGAUCUUGAAGCCAAUCAGAAGGCCACCAAUCUGGUUUACUAGCGACAACCUUCACAUCCUCUUGUCCUUGAAUGGACAAGGCAGUGGAACCCUUUAAGGCUUCCACCAGCCGCAAGAGUCCCAACCCACGACAUCCCAGAGCAGUAGUCAUUAAACCAGCUUUUUUCCCAGAUCCUGUGUUUACUACUUCGGAGCCAGGAAUGAACCUGUUUAUGAUUUCUGGAAUAGCAGAAACAAAAGGCUCAGAGUUCAUUCAUCAUAAAAUAAAAUCGGCAAUAGAUAUCAUCAUAAUACUAAAGAAGAUAACUACUACUAAUUACCUUUCCCAUCAUUAUCUUGAAACCUUAGAGGAACUAAUCGCUUCCGAAUCACCCCUCUGUGGUGCGUAUGUGCUACCAGUUCUUGGCCCACAUAGCAACCUUUGUCAACGCUGAUUGCAUUAAGGCCAACAAGAUUAUUAUUAUUAUUAUUAUUAUUAUUAUUAUUAUUAUUAUUAUUAUUAUUAUUAUUAUUAUUAUUAUUAUUAUUAUUCAACAUUUGGAGUUGAUUUUUCAGUAGUCCUACUCCUGGGCACAAAUGAACAGAUUAAAUUUUUUUUGAAAUGGAUGAUAUCUCCUGCAAUUUCUACUUAAUAAAUUUUGCUUAUUGUGCAAGUUAUUGGAACUAUCUUACUACAAUUUUCUUGUUUUGCAACUUAUAGGUCUAAACACAUGAACAAGUGGAAAUGAGCAUUUUUUAGGCUCAAUUUGACAAAUAUUCAAGCAUGACAUCAUAUGUGCUCUAAAGGGACACUUCCUUUAUGAAGGGAUAACUGAAAGGGAAGCCAAAUGUGUUAAUUUCGUGCAUAAUGACAUUUUUAGCCGUUACACUUUGAUUAAAUGAGUGAAAAACCAAAUCAAGCAUUAGAGACCUAUCUCGGGCGUGAUAGCCGUACACGGUUGUAACAGACCAAGAAAAUGAGAGAUGUUACUCUGAAGCAAUUGUCACGGCCGUGACAGUCUUUGAACUCAUCAGAUGUCCGUUUUGGCUCUUUGUAUUCCCACUUCUGUGGCACUAAUGUGUAGUUAUUGUGACCUUAUCAUUAUUGUCUAUGUUUUUCUGAUCAUUGGGAGGCCAUAUAUAUAUAUAUAUAUAGUCUCAUUGGCUUUUUAAAACUCAGAUUUCACAACUUGUAACAUUGCAAAGUAUCAAAUAAAGUCUUUAGUUUAUUUUCAGUUUGUUCUUGUUAUUGUUCAUAUUCAUAUAUUCAUAGCUUAGUGUCACCAUGUCAAGGUGUGAAUAGCCCAACCACACCUUGAGGUUAUGGAGAUCAUUUUAUAACAUAACCUCCUAGACCUUUUCAUAUGUGUGAAUGUUGCUGAUGGUUACUAGCAAUAAUUAUCACACUUUGCAGCUGUUCUUCAUUAUAAAUCUCGAAGUAUUUGGUAAAGUAUCGAAAGGUGAAGCUGGUACUGUGAUUCUCUGCAAUUUUUUAUCGAUGUCUUUGUAUGUCUUUGUGGAGGGACUGUUUGGCACGCUUGGGCUCUCCAGUUUGGUGACAAGGACGUAAGCUUUGCAAGCAUGGAGGUGUUGGGGUGCUAAGGUGUUUGGCUACGACAGACUAGCGUGCUUGACAACCGCUGUGACAAUGACAAAUGUUUCACAAUGCUAAAGUACCUUUUUACUUGCUUUUAAGAAUAUAGGUUUUCACAUAACAUAAACACAUGAGGGAAGGAAACACAUGAGGGAAGGAUUGGGAGUUUGUGUUUGGAAUGUAAUCCAUAACCUUGGGGGUCUUUAAAAUAUAAGAAAAAUCAAUCAUCGAUGCUAGCUUGUUUUGAUCACUAAAAACCUAAAAACAAUCAUCAUAAUCAUCACCACUUCUCUAAACUUCUCAUAUAAAUUUCCUUGAAUCAAAUUAUACACCAUUACUCAUUAGUCCCUAUGAAUUCAAUACUCUUUUUAUUACGACGACAUAUUUGUGCACUUGCGAGCAUGUCAUGAUUUUGGCACCGUUGCUGAGUACUAAUCGUAGAAAUAGGGUAAAAAAAAUCUAGGAAAUUUUUCUCUGCUGCAGGUUUUGCUUUUUGUUUUGUUUUUAUUGCCUCUUGUUUUAGCACUUUUGUGACUCUCUAGUGGAGGAAAUAAGACACUUUGAUAAAGGGAAAUCUCAGUCGUCAUGGAAUGAUGUAUCAGAACGGUACGAAAAUUUCUUUUAGCUCUAAAAUUGAAUCAUUGAUGAAUAACAUGCAUAAAAGUUCUUGCAAUUUUUGUGGUCUUAUACGUCAUGAUGAAUCAAUUUUUGCUUUUAACUAAAAAAACACUUCCAACCAUGGUGGUUCAUGAAUUAAAAUGUGUUUUAUCAAAACAUGCCACCUAAUUUCACUUUUUCUAAUGGUGCAAACAAAAACUUUCCAAACCAUGAUGACGACAGCACAAAGACUCACAAAAAUUGGCCAUAGAUGCUAAAUUCGAGCAAUUCAUGGUUGACCAAGAAAAGUUCAAUAAAGAAAUGUCUAGGAAGGUGAAUGGAAUUUUAGAAAAAUUAAAGUGUUGAUUGGUCUCUUGAUGCACUCUGCACACAACUUGACUACGGUGUUGAAAAAAUAGAAUCCGUAAACAUGCUUUCACCCUUUGAAAACUUAAAAAUUGAACCAAAGCCAACUUGUGAGCAAAAUGUAAACAUAGAGCAAGAAAAAGAGGAUGAUGAUUUUGAAAAUAUUUGAAGUAUGCUCGAGGGAAUCUCCCACUUGGAAUUAUUUAUGAAGAGAAUUGAAAAUAACAAAGAAUACCUUUCUACCUUAGGCCUAUUGGUAUGAGAAAGAGCGAUCCCAUCCCGCUCUAUGAAACAAUGAUUCUAAACCAAUAAAGAACACCAAUAAUUUUUUUUUCGCCUAGAAAAUUAGAAGAUCCUGGUAGCAUCAUCAUCCCAAGCAUAGUAGGUACGGUUAAGAUAGAAAAAUGCCCUUUGCGACAGUGGGACAAGUUAAAAUGCGAUAUCACUUUGGCUUGUGGUGCUACACAUUGCAAGAGCACAAUCUAGCAUUUUCCUAAAUUAAAUGACUAAACCACAUUUUCACAGAAUAGGCAGGAUUCAGACAAGUACUACUUGCUACUUGCUAUCUUAAUAUCACACAAGUACCAACAACACUUUAACAAGGUCCAGCAGUGUUAGCUAGGUAGCAGCAUUCAGACUUCUAGAGAGAUGUGCCAUAAGAACCUGUGUUGGUUAUAUUCUACAGGGAAAAAAAAAGAAUAGUUCUCAGCAUAACCUUGAAAUCACUAAUCAACUGCUGUAGAAAAAUCUACAGUACCUGUCGUUUCACUUUUUCUGUGACUAUUCUAAGCAUUUGCUCCCCCAAAAUGCCUUUCAUGACCGAUACAAAAGUAUACUGGGGUAUUUCACCUCUCUAUAACAAAUGACACAAAAAAGUUAAUAAUAUGGCAAAGCUUUGCACCACAAACUUAAAUAGUUUUUAGAACAUAAGAGAGGGAAAAAGAAAUGACAGAGAGGGGGAGGGGGGCUAACUGACCUUGUAUUUGUCAAAAAAAACUUCAAGUUCAAUGGCUUUGUCUGGGUCAAUAUGGGAAAUAAAUAAAGGGAUCAGCUGGUCAAAUGGCAACACCAGUUUACUGGAAUUGAUUUGGGUUCUAGGCUGUUUGUUGUCUGGGAACAGCUGACUUCUUUUCUACAAGAGAAAAAAUAUAGUUCUUAACAUAACCUUGAAAUCAAUAAUGAAUUGCCUUAUAGAAAAAUCAUCAGCAACGCUGCAUAAACCAUCCAAUCAACCUACCCGUUGUUUCACUUUUGCUGAUCUAAGCAUCUGCUCCCCCAAAAUGCCUUUCAUAAAAGGAACAAAAGUAUGCUCGCCUAUUUGACCUCUCUAGAACAAAUGACACAAAAAAGUUAGUAUUAUGGCAAAGCCUUGAACCACAAACUUAAAUAGUUUUUAGCAUAGAAGAUAGGGAAAACAAAAUGACAGUGAAACUGGUUUGGGGGGUAACAGACCUUAUAUUUGUCGAAUAAAGUUUGAAGUCCAAUGGCUUUGUCUGGGUCAAUAUCGGAAAUCAAGAAAGGAAACAGCUGGUCAAAUGGCAAUACCCGUUCACUGGAAUUGAUUUGGACUCUAGGGUGUUCGUUGACUGGGACCAGCAGAUUUGUUUUCUACAAGGGAAAAAAUAUUGUUCUUAACAUAUUAACAUAACCUUGAAAUCAUAUUGAAUUGGCUUAUAGAAAAAUCACCAGUAACGCUGCAUAAACCAUCUACUAUACCUACCUGUUGUUUCAGUAUUGCUUCUACUGAUCUAAGCUUCUCCUCCCCCACAAUGCCUUUCAUAAACGAUACAAAAUCAUACUUGGGUAUUUCACCUCUCUAGAACAAAUGAGACAAAAGAGUUAGUAAUAUGCCAAAGCCUUGCACCACAAACUCAAAUAAUUUUUAACACGGAAGAGAGGGAAAGGGAAAUGAUAGUGAAACCGGUUUGGAGUUAACAGACCUUAUAUUUGUCGAAUGAGGCUUGAAUUUCAUUGGCUUUGUCUUUGUGAAUUUCGGGAAACAAGAAAGGGAACAUCUGGUCAUAUGGCACCACAGGCAAACUAAAACUGAUUUGGGUUCUAAACAGUUCAUUGACCUGUUGCAGUUUCUCUGAUGCUGAUAAAAGCAGCUCCUCCCCCACAAUGUCUUUCAUAAGCGAGUAAAAAGUAUUUCUGGGUAUUUCAUCUCUCUAUAACAAAUGACACAAAAGAGUUAGUAAUAUGGCAAAGCCUCGCACCACAAUCUUAAAUAAUUUUUAACAUAGAAGAGAGGGGAAAAGACAUUAUAGUGAAACCGGUUUCGGGGUAACAGACCUUAUAUUUGUCAAAUAAAUCUUUAAGUUCACUGGCUUUGUCUUGGUCAAUUUCGUGAAACAAGAAAGGGAACAUCUGGUCAUAUGGCACCACAGGCAUUGUAAAAUUGAUUUGGGUUCUAGGCUGUUCAUUGACUGUGACUGGUAGAUAUCUUUUCUGCAAAGGGAAAAAGUGGUUCUUAACAUAAACAUGAAAUGAAUAUUCAACUUUCUUAUAGAAAAAUCAUUAGCAACACUGCAUACACCAUCUACUUGACCUACCUGUUGUUUCAGUUUUGCUUCUGCUGAUUUAAGCUUCUCCUCUCCCGCAAUGCCUUUCAUAAGCGAUACAAAAUCAUAGUUGGGUAUUUCACCUCUCUAGAACAAAUGAGACAAAAAAGUUAGUAAUAUGGCAAACUCAAAUAAUUUUUAACACAGAAGAGAGAGAAAAAGAAGUGAUAGUGAAACCGGUUUGAGUGUAACAAACCUUAUAUUUGUCAAAUAAAGCUUGAAUUUCUUUGGCUUUGUCGUUGUGAAUUUCGGGAAACAAGAAAGGGAACAUCUGGUCAUAUGGCAUCACAGGCAUUGUAAAAUUGAUUUGGGUUCUAGGCUGUUCAUUGACUGUGACUGGUAGAUAUCUUUUCUGCAAAGGGAAAAAGUGGUUCUUAACAUAAACAUGAAAUGAAUAUUCAACUGUCUAAUAGAAAAAUCAUUAGCAACACUGCAUACACCAUCUACUUGACCUACCUGUUGUUUCAGUUUUGCUUCUGCUGAUUUAAGCUUCUCCUCUCCCGCAAUGCCUUUCAUAAGCGAUACAAAAUCAUACUUGGGUAUUUCACCUCUCUAGAACAAAUGAGACAAAAAGUUAAUAAUAUGGCAAACUCAAAUAAUUUUUAACACAGAAGAGAGAGAAAAAGAAAUGAUAGUGAAACCGGUUUGAGUGUAACAAACCUUAUAUUUGUCGAAUAAAGCUUGAAUUUCUUUGGCUUUGUCGUUGUGAAUUUCGGGAAACAAGAAAGGGAACAUCUGGUCAUAUGGCAUCACAGGUAACCUAGAACUGAUUUGGGUUUUAGACUGUUCAUUGACUGUGAGCGGUAGAAUUCUUUUCUACAAGGGAAAAAAAGCAGUUCUUAACAUAAACAUGAAACGAAUAUUCAACAACUGUCUUCUAGAAAAAUCAUCAGCAACACUGCAUAAACCAUGUACUCUACCUUUCGCAUUUGUAUUGCUGCUGAUAAAACUUGUUGAUCAUCCCCCACAAUCUCAACCAAAAGCCUUACAAAAACAUACUUGGGUAUUUCAUCUCUCUAGAACAAAUGACACAAAAGAGUUGGUAAUAUAAUAUGGCAAAGCCUUAAAUAAUUUUUAACACAGAAAUUAGAGUGAAACCGGUUUGGCGGUAACGGACCUUAUAUUUGUCGAAUAAAGCUUGAAGUUCUUUGGCUUUGUCUGGGUGAUCAUAAAUCAAGUAAGGGAACAUCAAGUCAUAUGGCACCUCGGGUAUCCUAGAUUUGAGGCGGUCCAUAGUCUUUUAAACCAACUGCAAUUGAGACAUUAACAUAAAAGAAGCAUCUUAAGUAUAUGCAUUUGGUUAUAGGUAUGAAUUCAUUUCAGGAUCAUUUGUUCCAAGUCUUAAACAUUUAGAACCACAUGAUUAAUAGAAUUCAAAUUAUUUCUAGCAUCUAAUAAUAUUUUAGCUUUAUGACCAAAACAUCUGUUAAUCUAUAAACCACGGUUGAAUGAGAAGUUUGGUGCAUGGAAACCACAAAUCACAUAACUAGGGUUAGGGUAAAACGAAAAACACACACAAAAUUGAAAGAAAAUAAUAAGCAUGAGCAUUGAAAAACAAUAAACCUAGAACAAAAACAUAAAAUUGAUAUCAAAUAGUCAAACACACACAAAAUGAAAUCAAUAGUCAAAAUCAAAAUACAAUAAUAAACAUGAGCAUUGAAAAACAAUAAACCUAGAACAGACGAAACGGAAUUUCAAACAGAUGGAGACUUUAGCAGCGGUGGGGUUUUUUAUUUUCUGCCUUUUGUUCAACCUAAUUCUUCUUGCGUUUCAGAUAUAUAAAUAAAUAAAAUAUAAUAAUAAUACAGUAAUAUUUGAUCUGUUUCAAAUUACUUGUCCUUAUGAAAAAAUAAAAAAUUAAGAAAAUAUAUUUUUAAAAUUUAUCUUCCUAUUAUACACUUUAUUUAAUUCACCAAUAAUUUUAUUUUUAUUUUUUCUGCAGACACUUUCUCUUUCCAAUAAAUUUAAUUUAUUAUGUACCAAAAAAAUAAAAAAUUAAUAUGUUAUGUACAAAAAAAACUUUAGUUUUCAAAAUAUAUAUUAAAUCUUGAUAUUGCAAACUUAAUGAUUUCGUUUCUUGAUAUUUCAAAAACUUUAGUUUUCAAAAUAUAUAUUAAAGAAAACUUGCAGCACAAGCAAUUGCAAACUUAAUGAUUUCGUUUCUGGUACUAAGUUGUUAAAAAUGAAUUUGUUCUUCUACGUUGAUUUUUGAUUCUGAAAAAUUAUUCACUGAUUCUUUAUAUUGUUUGCCCGGUUCUUAUCUAAUUUGUUGCUAUUGUAUGUAUAUCACAUGGAAAUUAAGAAUGAAAAAGUUGGAGAUGACGUGAUUGAGAUAGAAACUAACAAAUUUGGCAACCAAAUGUUAUUUAAGAAGAAAGGAUACUCUCAUUAUGGUAAACUUUGUAUAAUUUUUGUUGACGCAAUUGUCUCUUUGAUAAAAAUCACAACGCUUCUAUUAACAUUCAUUCGAUAAGUAAUGAUUAGAAUGUACAAGAAAAUCACAUUGAUCUAGAAAAUGUUAGAUUUCUCUUUCUCAACUCCCAAAUUUGGUAAAAGUGUCAAAAGAACGAAAAUAUACAUUUGUCUGAAGUUAACAGCUAAUGAAAAGUUCAGUUCACAGGACAUCACAUCAUCAUUGUCUUCACCGAUGCUUAGAAGUAUUCUGCUUGUCUUACUCUUUGUCUUCUGGAACUGGAGCUGGAGCUGGAACUGGAGAACCCUUUGUUCCCAAUAUCUUUUGGCAUGCUCUAAAACCAAUAAAAUAGAACACAUUCAUUAGACUUGCCCUAGAGAUAAAAUCCAUGGAUAUAAUGAUUAAAGUGUUCACUAAAUCAGUGUUGUCAAUCACAGAUUGUGGAAAAUAACAAUUUGUUCAAAGUCUGCUACAGAUUUGGACUGGACGGUUCCUAUUAAAACAGUUUUUAAUUUUUUAUUUAAUAUUAAAUUUUCAUUAUCAAAUCAUGAUUGUUUAAUCUUGAUCGGAUGAUCCUAAAGUUGCUGAGUGCAUACAGUCAUUGAUUUGUGACUGCAUAGAGUCCAGGUCUGUUACAGUGCUAUAAUGCGGCUAUUUGACAACACUUUGUACUAAAUAGUAUAUUGUGGAACAAUAGCAAUUUGUUCAAAUUGCGCUAUGCUAUAGCGCUGUGAUAGCCGUUAUUUGACAAAAUAAGUAUGUAGUGUUUCUUCACGUCCUUCAUUAUAAAGCCAUUUCUUAGCCUCUUCGAGGCUCCUGGAUAUUUCAUCCUUCUCUUGUUCACUUGCAAAAUUACGGUAUUCGUUUAAGAGCUAUUCACAAAUGCACAAAUUAUUAAACGUCGGUCAGUGGGUAAAGAUAGAACACACACACACAUAAAGCUAGAUAUGAAAUGUGUGAUAAAACCAUGUCUGCAUCUUAUUAAGCUAAUGAACCCUAUACCUUAUUCCUCGUGUCAUAGACGAAUGACUCCAAUAUGUUCCCCUUGUUUUUGGUUAACUCCAUUGCUACAUCCUGCUGGAUUAACUGACGUUCUUUUUCUCGUGCUUUCACGAGUUCAGCACCGGUCAUUCCUCCGAAGAUGGUCUCACUCACUGGUAAAUUAAGCCUUCUGUUAGCUUUAUCUUUUCCCGUACCAUCCGACUGUAAAAAGGCAUGAUAGUAACAUAACACUUUAUUUACUCAAAUCACCAACAUGAAUCAUAUCUGCAAUCAAAACAAUCUCAACAAGAUAAAAAUAUACUUAUACGAUUAUCACAUAUAUUUAAAAUCAAUCGUCAUAGACCGAGAGACAUGUCAUAAGAUUCAACAUUAAAAAUGAUCAGAUAAAGUUUAGCUAUAUGAUUUUUCAUUUUGAAGGAUGAUUUGCAAGAUAUCUCUAUCAUUCGAUAUAUUCUGUUAUGUUGAAUUAAAGAUAGGUGUUAAUCAACAAAGUACUUACAGAACUAUGUGGAGGUUCACUCUUCUGAUUGAUACUAUGUUCAUUGACAUUUUGACCUGACAUUUUGACCUGUCUCAGAAAUGGGCUCAACAUCCAUUGCGUCAGAAUUUGAAUGAUUAUCACGCGUUGUAACAGAAUCUUCCACAUGAUCCUCGAUCAACUGAAGACAAAUUAAAGGUUCAUGUACAUCACUAGAUAUCUUAGAAAACUGAUAAUGUAAUAUUGAGAGAUUAAAAUUAGGCUUCUUACUUACUGUAGAUGAUUCGAUAUUGACAAUGCCGUGCAGAUUUAGUUGAAAUAUAACUUCAACUCCUGCCUUACUUCCAUCGGAUUCAUGUAAAGGACCAAUCUGAAUAGAAGUGGCAAUCAAAUGCAUAAUCAUAUAUACGAGUCUUUGAGUACUAAAAAGUGAAGUUUAAGACGACAAAAAAUCUUAGAGGCGACACUACAUGCCUUUCACAAGUUCUAAAGAACACCUACCGUGUAGCAACUAAUUUUAGGAGAUAUCCCCUUUGGUAAUUCAUGUAGAAUAGGAUAGAAAGCUUCCAAACGAAGCAAAUUACUGCCCUGUAACGUAAGAGUUUUAGAACUUGGAAUCGGUUCACCUUUUGGGAAAGUCCAAUAGAAAAAGGAGUAGAAUCCUCAACCUGAAUAAAUAAGAGAAAUUACAUUAAUUUUAUGUAUAACAAUACAAACCAACAUUUGGAUUAUAGAUUGGAAGCUUCUAUCUUAUUAUACAAAACUCUAGGGGCUUGUCUUAAUUCAUAGAGAGAUUUUUUCAACCUAUAAACCAUGUAGGAAAACACUUUUAACAUCAAGUUCGAACACAAACAAGUUUCUUACUGCAGCAAUAGCCAAAAUAGUUCUAAUGGUAUCCCACCUAACUACCGGGGCAAAUAGCAUGUUUUUGAGAAUAUCCUUUGGCUAUUAAUCUAGCUUUGUACUUUUCAACCUUGCUGUGCUCAUUGUACUUAGUCUUGUAUAUCCAUUUAACUCCAAUUUUCUUAGCUCCACUAGCAAUUUUCUUAGCUUCAAUAUUUUAUAUAUUCAGUGGAAUUUCAAACCAUAGGAUUACUCGGAAAAAAAAAAGUUUUUUUAUGGAAACAAACAAAAAAGUUUUUAGUAUUAUGGAAUUAUCAAAUUUUGUUUCUGUUAUCUAUAAUAAUAAAAUUCAAACAAAUUCAAUAGUUGUUGAUUUUGACACUAAAAAUAUGAAUUUUAACCAAUAAGGAACAAUUGUCUAUAGCAAAAAAAAUAUUGGUGGAGCCUUUAAUUAGACCACGUAAAAUGUAGUUGUUUUUCACCAUUUGUGCAUCUCUUCCAUCCAAUUUAUAUGACUCACAUGUUAAUUUUCUGAUUUCUAUACUUUUGCUACCGUAGGUUUGUCUUAUGUGUAGGUUAUUCCUCAUAAGCUACAAGAUUUUUUUUUACUACUAUUCAAAUUUCAUGUGUUAUGAUUUUUAGAAUUACGUCAGUUAACUUGAUUUACUGUAUUAGUCUUUGGUCAUCUCGGGAUGGUCUUUAAAUUUUUUCGUUCUUACGGUGAAUUGUUAUAUGUUUUAAAUCUCAAAUUAUUUUACAAAUGUCCACAUAUGUGAUAUGUAACUCAAAGGCUUGACAUAAAUGAAUCUGGUAAACAUGGAUGGAUGGUUUAGAAUUCAAUUAUGUAAGAUUAUUUGAAUACUACAUAUAAACCAAUCACCAAUCAGAUUCAUGAGCUUUGAAAUCCAUUCUAAUAAAUUAAAUGACUAGACCACAUUUUCACAUAAUAAGUAGGAGCAAAGAAGAAGGUUCCAAAAGGAAGCUGACAAAAUCCAUCAACAUUUAACCAACUCACAACUUGCUAUACUAAUAUCACACACAUACCAACAACACUUUAUCAGGGUCCAGCAAUGUGAAUUAAAUUAACCUACACACCCUGUCCAAACUCAGGUAUUAUGAGAACAGUCUGUAGAAGCAUUCAUACUUCUAGAGAGAUGUGCCCGAAGAUUAGAAUUUGUUCGUUUCUUAUCUACAGGGAAAAAAAUAGUAGUUCUCAGCAUAACCUUGAAAUCAAUACUAUUCAACUGCCUUGUAGAAAACAGCAACCAGUAGUUAACAUGAACCAUCUAUAACUACCUGUCUUAGCAGUGUAUGUGCUGCUGAUCUAAAAACCGGCUCCCCCAAGCGGUAGAAAACUAGACGCCGGUAUCUCACCCCUCUAGAAUUAAUGACACAAAAAAGUUAGUAAUAUGGCAACGCUUUGCACCCACAAACUUAGCACAGAAGUGAGGGCAAAAGAAAUGAAGGUGAAACUGGUUUAGGGUAACAGACCUGGUAUUUAUCAGCUAAAAAGUAAAGGUCAAUGUUUUUGUCUAGGCCAAUUUGGGGAGACAAGAGACGGUACAUAUCGUAAAAUGUCGCCACCGGUUUACCAGAAUUGAUUUGGGUUCCAGGUUGUUCAUUGACUGUGACUUGUUGACUGCUUUUCUACAAGGAAAAAAAAAAAGGACAGUUCUUAGCAUAACCUUGAAAUCAAUAUCCAACAGCUUUAUAGAAAACAGCAACCAGUUCUUAACAUAAACCAUCAUCUAUACUUACCUGUCUUAGAAGUGUUGCUACUGCUGAUCUAAAAGCUGGCUCCCCAACAAUGUCUUUCAUAAGCGGUGUAAUAUUACACUUGGGUAUCUCACCUCUCUAGAACAAAUGACACAAAAAAGUUAGUAAUAUGGCAACGCUUCGCACCCACAGUGAGGGAAAAAGAAAUGAUGGUGAAACUGGUUUGGGGUAACAGACCUGGCAUUUUUUACCAAAAUAGUAAAGGUCAAUGGUUUUCUCUAUGCCAAUUUGGGGAGCCAGGAGAUGGAACAGCUGAUCAAAUGUCAACACCACUUUACUAGAAUUGAUUUGGGUUCUAGGUUGUUCAUUGACUGUGACUUGUAGAUUGCUUUUCUACAAGUAAAAAGGAAAUAACAGUUCUUAGCAUAACCUUGAAAUCAAUAUCCAACUGCUUUAUAGAAAAAUCAUGCACAACGCUGCAUAAACCAUCUACUCUACCUGUUCUUGCAUUUGUGCCAAUGAUGGUGAAACCAGCUGCUCCUCCAAAAUGUCUGUCAUAAGUGGGGAAAAAGUAGACACAAUGUCUGCCUGUUCAUCUCUCUAGAACAAAUGACACAAAAAGUUAGUAAUAUGGCAAAGCCUUGCACCACAAACUUCAAUAAUUUUUAACACAUAAGAGAUGGAAAAAGAAAUGAUGGUAAAACCGGUUUCUCGGAUAAAGGUUGAAUCUCAUCGACUUUGUCUUGGUCAUAUGGCAACAUGUUGAAUAAAACUUGAAGUUCAUUGACUGUGUCUGUGAUUUGUAGAUUACUCAUCUGUUGUGUUGUAAACUGUUCAUUGACUGGGACCUGACGAUUUUUAUUCUACAAGGAAAAAAAAAUAAAGUUCUCAACAUAAACAUGAAAUGAAUAUUCAACUGCCUUAUAGAAAAAUCAUCAGCAACAGUGCAUAAAACAUCUACUCUACCUGUUGUUCGUGCAGUUGCAUCGUUGCUGAAUAAACCAGCUGCAUUCCCACAAUGUCUGUCACACGCGCAAAAAACCUAGACUUGGGUAUUAUUUCAUCUCUCUAGAACAAAUGACACAAAAAAAGUUAGUAAUACAAUAAUGUAAUAUGGCAAAACCUUGCACUACAAACUUAAAUAAUAUUUAACACAGAAGAGAUGGAAAGAGAAAUGAUGGUAAAACCGGUUUGGGGAUAAGAGACCUUAUAUUUCUCGAAUAAAGCUUGAAUUUCAUCGACUUUGUCUUGGUCAAUAUGGGGAAACAAGAAAGGGAACAACCGGUCAUAUGGCACCACAGGUAUAGCAGGUAAACUUUCAUUGACGGUNNNNNNNNNNNNNNNNNNNNNNNNNNNNNNNNNNNNNNNNNNNNNNNNNNNNNNNNNNNNNNNNNNNNNNNNNNNNNNNNNNNNNNNNNNNNNNNNNNNNNNNNNNNNNNNNNNNNNNNNNNNNNNNAGUCUAAAACAUUUAAAACGUCCACAUAAUAAUUAAUAGAAUUCAAAUAAUGAUGCUUAGGGUUAGGGUAAAACGAAAAACACACACAAAAUGAAAUCUAAAGACAAUAAUAAACAUGAGCAUUGAAAUGUGUAGAACCAAAACAUAAAUUGAUAUCAAAUCCAAAAACAGAGAAGAAAUUAAACGCAGAUGACGUGAGGAUUAAGAAAUUAACUAUGGAUGUAGCGAGACUCAUGAUUAGAACUUCCUGUCAAGUUGUGGUGGCUGAAUUUAUCGAUGUAAAGAUAAACGGCGAGGUUUUUCACCUGCGUGUCAUCGAAGAUUUGUACGGACCUAUGAGGAUUAUGACAACUCAGAAACAAGGCCAGCAAGGAAGAUCUAUGGAUAAUGAUAGUUCGGAGGAUGAACGGAGAUUGAUGGCGGUGGUGGAUGAGCCAGAGAGAGAAUCGGAAGGCGAAAAUUUAUUAGCAUUAAACUCUAAUGUUAAUGUCCAUAAUAUUCCUAUUAAUGCUUAUAAAGUUGUGAAUACCUUUUUGUAAGCGUUUAACGUACCUGAGGAUAGGGAGGAAGGUUCAAAUCUUUCUAGUAAUUUUGUCCCUAUCCAAAAUUUAGAAAAUUUGAAUAAACAUGAUCAUUGAAAAACAAUAGCUACUGUAAGUUUGCCGUAUGUGUAGGCUAUUCCUCCUAAGCUACAAGAUUUUUUUUUAUUAAUAUUCAAAUUUAUUCUAGAAUUACUCUCCCCCUAUGUUGGUCUUAAAAAUGAUUUAGUUAUUAUGAAUAGAGAAGGAAAUCCCCCAAGUCUUGAAAUGAUGAUUUCUAUCAAUUGGCGAUUAAAAUGCAAGUCAAAACAAAAACAGGGAAUAUGACAAAUAACUAACAUACAUAAAUUUAAAACCAUACAUUGCUGAAGAUAGUACAAUUACGUCGUUAACUUGAUGUACCAUCAUAGUCUUUGGUCAUCUCGAGAUGUUCUUUAAAGUUUUUUGUUCUUAUAGUCCUCAUGCUUGCGGGGUUAAGGACUGUUAUAAUUUUAAAUCUCAAAUUAUUUUCUUAAGCAUUUUACUCUUACUGUCAUAAAAUAUUUCUAUCUUGAUUGAACACUACAAGAUAGUUUAAUAAUGUGAGUUCAAAAUGCGCUCUUCAAUGGGGAUUGGGGAUUCAGAAGAUAAAGGACUAGUGCACCAAGUAAGGAGUUUUCCCACCAAAAAUUCAAAUUCAAAUAGCAAGUGAAGAUGGGAGGGAACAAUUUUCAAAGAUUUUCACAGGACAAGUGUCCUACACGUGGCAAACAUGCAAAGUUCGAAAACAGUUACUCGAGUUUUCGAAUUUUCUUAUAAAUACAAUAAUCGUAGGCUGUUUUAGGAAGUUCCUUUCCAAUAGAGAAAACAUACCGCCUAAAAUAGAACCACAUUUUCACGCUAACAUACAAAAUGCAAAAAAAACUUCUCAUAUGGCUGUAAUUGAUGUAUGAAACUCAAUUUCUUUAUAAUGCAAUUUAACUUUUCUAGUUAUAGCAUUUUAGAUUGAUUUUACUCAAAAAGACGCUAAACAUUCUAGAAAUUCAAACCAAUCGUAAACCUAUCAACUGAAGAACCCAUUAAGGAUAUGAUCAAAAUCCUAAAUAAACCAAUUGUAAUCAGGACUUAAUUAAAAUGGUCAAGUUUAUUUUAUUCCAACAAACCUAUGGCACUUUUGCAGAAAUGAAUCCUCUCCAUUUAUUUUUCUCAUCUUUUACAAAUGUCCACAUGUGAUAUGUAACUCAAAGGCUUUAACAUAAAUGAAUCUGGUAAACAAGGAUGCAUAAUUUAGAAUUCAAUUAUGUAAGAUUAUUUGAAUAAUACAUAUGGUUAAUGAACUUCAAUAUCAAGUUCACAAAGUCAUGACAGAUACACCAAUCACCAAUCAGAUUCAUGAGCUUUGAAAUCCACAUUCUAAUAAAUUGCAUGACUAGACCACAUUUUCACAAAAUAAGUAGGAACAAAGAACAUGGUUCCAAAAGGAAGCUGACAAAAUCCAUCAACAUUUAACCAACUCACAACUUGCUAUAUUAAUAUCACACACAUACCAACACUUUAACAGGUCACACCCUGCCCAAACACAGGUAUUAUGAGAACAGUCUGUAGCAGCAUUCAUACUUCUAGAGAGAUGUGGCAGAAGAGCCUGUUUUGUUUCUUAUCUACAGGAAGAAAAAAAAUAGUAGUUCUUAGCAUAACCUUGAAAUCAAUACUAUUCAACUGCCUUAUAGAAAACAGCAACCAGUUCUUAACAUAAACCAUCUAUACCUACCUGUCUUAGCAGUAUGUCUCCUGCUAAUUUAAAAGCCGGCUUCCCCACAAUGCCUUUCAUAAGCGGUAUAACAUCAGACUUGGGUAUCUCACCUCUCUAGAACAAAUGACACAAAAAAGUUAGUAAUAUGGAAACGCUUUGCACCCACAAACUUAAAUAGUUUUUAGCACAGAAGUGAGGGAAAAAGAAAUAUUGGUGAUACUGUUUUGGGGCAACAGACCUUGUAUUUUUCACCUAAAACGUAAAGAUCAAUGGUUUUCUCUAUGCCAAUUUGGGGAGCCAAGAGAUGGAACAGCUGGUAAAAUGUCACCCCUGUGUCACUAGAAUUGAUUUGGGUUCCAGGUUGUUCAUUGACUUGUAGAUUGCUUUUCUACAAGGAAAAAAAAAACAGUUCUUAGCAUAACCAUGAAAUCAAUAUUCAACUGCCUUAUAGAAAAAUCAUGCAGCAACGCUGCAUAAACCAUCUACUCUAACUACCGGUUGUUUCACUUUUGCUGCUGCUGAUUUAAAUAUCUGCUCCCCCAAAAUGCCUGUCAUAACCGGUACAAAAGUAUCCUUAGGUAUUUCACCUCUCUAGAACAAAUUACACAAAAAAGUUAGUAAUAUGGCAAAGUCUUGCACCACAAAACUUAGAUAGCACUGAAGAGAGGAAAAAAGAAAUAUUGGGGCAACAGACCCUAUAUUGGUCGAAUAAAACUUUAAGUUCAAUGACUUUGUCUGGGUCAGUCAUAUAGGGUAGCAAGAAAGGAUACAGCUGGUCAAAUGGCAAAUCCAGGUCACUGGAAUCGAUCUGGGUUGUAAACUGUUCAUUGACUGGGACCUGACGAUUUUUAUUCUACAAGGAAAAAAAAUAAAGUUCUUAACAUAAACAUGAAAUGAAUAUUCAACUGCCUUAUAGAAAAAUCAUCAGCAACAGUGCAUAAAACAUCUACUCUACCUGUUGUUCGUGCAGUUGCAUCGUUGCUGAAUAAACCAACUGCAUCCCCACAAUGUCUGUCACACGCGCGAAAAACCUAGACUUGGGUAUUAUUUCAUCUCUCUAGAACAAAUGACACAAAAAAAGUUAGUAAUACAAUAAUGUAAUAUGGCAAAACCUUGCACUACAAACUUAAAUAAUUUUUAACACAGAAGAGAUGGAAAGAGAAAUGAUGGUAAAACCGGUUUGGGGGUAAGAGACCUUAUAUUUCUCGAAUAAAGCUUGAAUUUCAUCGACUUUGUCUUGGUCAAUAUGGGGAAACAAGAAAGGGAACAACCGGUCAUAUGGCACCACAGGUAUAGCAGGAAAACUUUCAUUGACGGUGUCUGUCGUCUGCUGCGCUGUAGAUGGGUCCAUAGUCUUCUAAACCAACUGCAGUCGCAGAUAUUAACAUAAAAGAAGCAUCUGAAGUUAAAUGUUGGCAUCAAUAUAUGCAUUUGGUUAAAGGCAUGAAUUCAUCUCAGCAUCAUUUGUUCAAAGUCUAAAACCUAUAAGCACGACAAGGACAGACACACACUGGCACAUCGAUACCGAUAAUAAUUUGAAAAAACGACAUGAUUAAAUGUAAUCAUAAGUGUCGGUGUUCGAAGACACAUGUUUGACAUCGGGGAAAGCCUAAUCCAAGAGUGUAAGUGCGCUUCGUAGUCUAAAACAUUUAAAACGUCCACAUAAUUAUUAAUAGAAUUCAAAUAAUGAUGGUUAGGGUUAGGGUAAAACGAAAAACGAAAAACGAAAAACACACACAAAAUGAAAUCAAUAGUCAAAAUCGAAAGACAAUAAUAAACAUGAGCAUUGAAAUGUGUAGAACCAAAACAUAAAUUGAUAUCAAAUCCAAAAACAGAGAAGAAAUUGAAGGCAUGAAAAAAUAUAGGAAAAGAACGAACGAAGUCACUCACAUAAAUUGAUAAGCCGAACGCGAUAAGGACCUUAGAAUUUGACACUAAAAAUUUGAAUUUUAAUCACAAGCAACUGUUGUUCUUAGUAGAAAUAUUGUUGGUGUAGCCUGCGAUUAAAUUCUUGUGGUAAAUUCAUAUGUACAUGGGGAAGUUAUUUUUAGGGUAAAUAGGGUUUUACCUCCCUGCAAAAUAGGCAAGUUUUGGAUUACCCCCUUAAAAUUUUUUUUUGUGAUUACCCCCUGUAAAAUGAAGAUUCCAUCAUUUACCCCCCUCAGUCGACAACAUGGAUGUUGACUGGACAAAAUUGAUGACGUGGGAUGCAUGUGUGGCUUUUCAUUCAUUUUUUAUUANNNNNNNNNNNNNNNNNNNNNNNNNNNNNNNNNNNNNNNNNNNNNNNNNNNNNNNNNNNNNNNNNNNNNNNNNNNNNNNNNNNNNNNNNNNAACUAAGCCAAAGUAACAAAAAAUUUAAACUUUCCAAAGAGUGAUGAAGAUUUGGGUUUGAAGAUGAUGAAUAAGUAAGUGAUGAAGAUUUAGGUGUUGAGUAUAUUGGUGUGUUGAUUGAUUUUCUUUUUCUAGAGAGGGGAUAACUUUUGUUUUUGUUGAUUUUUUUGGAGAGAAGGAUGAAAUUAUAGCAAUAUUGAAGAAGAUGAACCUUCAACCCCAAUUACUAUUGUUUUUUUCUCUUUUUUUUUCAGUUUUUUUUAAUUAAAAAAAUAAUAAUUAUACAUUCAUUAAUGAAUUGACAAUAAAAAAAUAAAUAUAAAAUAAAUUAAUUCCACUUGUACGUGCCACGUCAUCAAUUUUGUCCAGUCAGCAUCCAUGUUAUCGACUGAGGGGGGUAAAUGAUGGAAUCUUCAUUUUACAGGGGGUAAUCACAAAAAAAAAAUUGCAGGGGGGUAACGCAAAACUGACCUAUUUUGUAGGGGGGUAAAAUCCUAUUUACCCUUAUUUUUAUUUAAAAACAAAUUUUUAUUUAUUUUUAAUUAAUAAAUAUAAAUAACUACCUUUUUGUGAGAGGAACAAAAAAAAUUGCAUCUAAAUAAAUGCAUAUAAGUUUUGUCCAUUUUUUAUUACUUUUAUAUAUAUCUUUUAAAAUUUAAAAAUUUCUAAAAUUUUAUAAAUAAUUUUUUUAUAUAGUAUUCUAUGUUUGAAAAAAUUAUUCACAAAUUUAAGAGUUUAAGGAUAAGAAAACAAUUUUUAAAAUUUUGAAAAAUAGAAGGACUAUAAUUGCUUGCAUAAAAAUUCUGUAGUGACCAAACCAUGUGACUUUUGUUUAUAGGGAGCAAAAAUAAAAUUUUAUAAGGAUAAAAAAUAUAUUUAACCCUAUUAGCAAGAAAAAAAAACAUAAACAAGAGAUAGAAAACAGAAUAUCAUAGUUUAGUACGGGUAGCUUAAUUGGUAGAUACUAAAGAUAUUAUUGAAGGGCUAGUUUUGAAUCGUAAAUUCUCCACAUUUAUAGUCUAUGAGUCUAACCAUUAAAUUACUGAAUAAAAAAAAUUAAUGUUUAAUCUGUGAUAAGAUAUAAUCGGGAUACCAAUUAUCAUAUUAUGUGUAUAGUGCAUACAUGAUAACAAUAUUUCAAAACAAAAAAUGGGUGAUUUCACAACAAAAAAUGUCCUAAAACCAGCUCCCCAGAGAUGGAUGAAUGGAGAAGAGAGGUUAGAGAGAAGUGAAGAUGAAGUUUCUCUUAGAAAAUAAAACUACGGCCGACGAUCAGCCAUCAGGUUGAACCCACCAAUAGUUUAUCGUAAAGAACAACGACAAACUCACAACCAUUUUUGGCCAAUCAGGUUGAAUUCAAUCACAAAGGACUAAACCAGAUUAAAGGAUGACGACGGUCGCGAAUCGAUUGAUGUGAAAAUACUUUCAAAAUAUGAAUGGAUAGAUUAGAAAAAACCUAAUUCAAUAUGAAUAUACCAAUAAAUAUAUGAGCUUUAACAUGAUUAUUAAUAAUUUUCAUAACUCACAAUUUUUUUUUUUUAAUUCUAUUAAAAUGAUAUGAUAUUUUAUAAUUGAUUGAUUUAUUCUUAGUAAAAAUGCGGGUAACGGAUAUAUGUGCUUAAGUACCCAGAGGGUACGAGCACAUAUACAAAGGUUGUUACCCAUGCGGGUAUGAGACCAGAUCCAAAUAUUUUUUUAUUUAUUUUUUAAAAUUGCGCAUACGAGAAUGACGACUAUAGUACCUUACUCAUACUCUACUCAUUAUCAUCCCUACACGAUUCCCAACUUGUUAUAUGUCCUUCCUCAAGUUUGAAAGACAAAGUGGGAAAUUGAACAAUGCUCGGAGCAAAACAUUGCUCAUAAUGUGCUAUGAAGCAUAGACACCUCGAAUUAUGCAUGUAUCAAUAUCAGACAUGCAUAGGUGUUUUACACUAAUACAACACUGACAUUUACGAUUAUUUAAAUUAUGUUUGUUUUUUAAAUGUUGUCGGCUUCAAAUGAAUUCGAACAUGGAAACCGUGACAUCACCCCUUCCUCCAUACACCAUACGCUCGUAUCGUGAUUAAGAGUGUGAGGGAAAAAAAAUAAAGGAAAGAAAGAAGAAAGGUGACAUAGAAAAAUAGCAAGUCACAAUUUAUUCACAAAAUGGACGUGUGACUUUAUUUACUUCCAUGAGAUUGUAUCCUCAUAAUAGAUGAAGAUGUAAGCUUUUUUUGUUAACAAGUCAUACACUGCGUUAACGGCAUCGAUGAUAUGUUGUAGAGAAAAAUGAAUUAUUAGAAGCUAAUAUCCAAAAUCUCGAUUGGGUCAAAUUAUCAAGCUGGUGACCAAAAGAGUAAUUUGCAAUAUUAACAAUCUGUCCAAUUUUCUCUUCAAGUUGUGGAAACUCUGGUUGAGCAGCUAGUUUCCACCGUUUAUCAAAUGCAAGCCAACAAGAUGUUGCAUGAUGAUGUACAACAUGUUCCAGUAUUCGAGGUAGGUGAGUCCGUUAAAACAGUGUUACUUUAUUAUGAGAUCAAUGCAGCCAUUUUAGGUGAAGACAAUUUGAUGUCGCCAACCACUUAUGAAAAAAAACAUUUUGAUACUCUAGAAGUUUGUUGACUAUUACUAAUAUACUCCCUUCGUCUAAAAAUAUAAGCAAAAACUAGUUAACAAAAUUUGAUGUAUUUGGUGUAAAAUUUAGUCCAGAUACAUUAACUUUUGUUGACUCUCUUUUGCUUAUAUUUUGAAAAGGAGGGAGUACAAUCAUUUAAUAACAUGUUAAUUUUAUAUAUUUUAUUAUUUUUUUAAAAAAAUGUUUGUAUAGCACCAAUACACAGCAAAACUUUAUUAUUUGAGAAUGUUGUGGCACCUUCCAGUUGCUUAAAAAUCUGGCACUAUUUUUUAAAAUAAAUAAUAAUAUUUAUUAAUGUUUUAUUUAAGUUCACGUGAACUUAGCUCAAUAGGUAAGAACAUCGCAUAUAUUAUAGGGAAGUUGAUGCCAACCACCGGGCUACUGCGCGCGAUAUGAUACGUUGGGGAAGCAAAUGAUAUAUUUACAGACUUUAAUAUUCAUACUAUAUAAAAAUACAUAUAUUGAUUGAAAAAAAAUGAGGGGUGUUGCGCACCUCCCUGCUCAUAAGAAAAUCCGCCCCUGACCGGACAUCAAAGCCACAGUUUCACCUUGGUGUGUUCUUUUCUCACUCUUAUUUUAUACAUGUUGCUUGUACCAAAAGAAAUUAAGCCCGUGUUUCAGUCUUAAGGAAACGGAGAUACUCAUACAAGAGAUGUGGGAUAUAUGUUGGUAUAAGCAAGAACAUGACAAUGAAAUGAAUUUAGAAAAUUGCUGAAAAAAAUAACAACAUUGAGAGUGCGUUUGAUCUGCUAAAAAACAGGAGACUGGACUGGACAACUUUUGUUGUACCCUGUUUGAUUUGAAACUGACUUGAGACUGGACAAAUUAGGUAGCAAGGGACAGGACAAAAACAAAAUUUUUUGUCCCUCACUGAACCACAAUACAACUUUUUGUCCAUAGUACAACUAUAAAAAAUACGAAAAUACUCAUUUUGUUUUCGAAUAUAAAAUAUUAUCGACUUAUAUCUCUCCGGUACAGAUUUGUCAUGUCCUGUAUUAUCUUGUUCCGUCCCGUAUUAUUUUGUUCAGUCCUUGCUAUUUUACGAAUCAAACGCACCCUGAAUCCUGAAUGUGAAAUGUGAAUUUUACUCAUUUUCAGCUCCAAUUCCAAGUUUAGAACACUUCUCUUUUAGAAAUACUCUGUAGUGUGUUUUAAUUCUAGAAAGAAGGCAUCAGAUCAACUUUUUGCAUGGUGGGCACAGAUAUGGUAAAACUACAAAAGCAAUGGUUUUAUUUGUCACGGUGACCCAAAAUUCAAAUAUCACAACAAUGCAAGAUGAAAUUGCAUACUCGUUGAAUAUGAAAUUCGAUGAAGUUGGAAGGGCCAGAAGAAUAUUCUCAACAAUAGAAAGUAUGAAUCAUCCAAUUCUAAUGAAUUUUUAAGAUGUUUGAGCAAAAUUCGACCCAAAGGUUGUAUGCAUUAAUUCCUUGUAAUAAUAACCGUUGCGAGAUCGUUUUGACCACAUGUUGCAGACAAAAUUGUGACUUGAUGUACUGUCAAAAGGAUAUUUAACUUGGUCCCUUAUCUACAAAUGAAUCUUGGACUUUGUUCCAAAAAAGUUCAGGUAUUCACUGUGAUGAGUACUCGUCAUUUGACCUAUUGAAUGUCGGGUGUGAAGUUGCUUUUCAAUGUGAAGGCUUAUAUAGAACGGUUAAAGAUGUGCGACCUACCAAUUGAGGAAUGGAAAACAACACUACAUAAUCUGAAACUUUCAAUGGCCAAAUGAAAAAAAUUCUUAGUUUUAGAGGUUUUCUCUUACAGGUUUUCUCUCUAUCAAACUUUAUCUCUAGGGACAUUCAGGGAAUGGAAUGGAUUCUCUCCCAUGGGCCAAAAAACUGGAGGAAAUAAUGUUGAUAAAUCUCAACCCUUCAUUUCUUUCAAUGAAAAAUCAAUAAUCAGGAUUACAAGCACAUAAAAUAUUUUGUCUCUUCUCCCUAGGCUUCAUCUUCUUCAAGACUUCAACAAACAUUAAUAACCAUUUUCACCAUUUUCAGUUCUUCAAUCAUCGUCAUAAUCACCCCAAAAUUCACAAUUGCAUAACCAAACAUAAAUUUAUUAGAGAAUGAGAUAGGUUAUGGAACUUGUAAAAAUUGAGUUUUCAUUAAUUGCAUGAAGAAUUGCACAGUUUUCAAAAAUUGGGUUUUUCCAUUAAAUGUUUGUAAAAAUUAAACAGAAAAUGUUCAUGGAACUUGUAACAAAAUUUAAGGAAGAAAAUUACAUUUUGAUUUUAAAUGUUCAUAUGUAUCAGAAUGGCAAUAAUAGAAAUAAAAAUCAAUUAGUUAGAGCUAGGAAGAAAUAAGAAAGAAUGGACAAAACCCCUUCUAUCCUAGCAUCUGCCAUUGCAGAAUCUCUCCACCAUCAGUGGAAAAUGUGUUGUUACAAAGAUCCAACCGCACAAACAGUGGGAGGAAUUGCCAUUGCCGCCAUGGGAGUGAAGAAAGGUCAGGAAAGAGAAGACAAGUGGGACCCAAAAUGACAUAGUAUGACAUUAGACUUUAGGUUUUAGUCACAGCCAUUAAUAUUACAUUAAAAGAAAUAGAGGGAUGAGAUUACACAUUAUUUCCUCCAGUUGUUGGUUCACGGGAGAGAAUCCACUCCCGGACAUUCAAGACCUUCAUGGAUGACGGAGGACUGCACAAUGGAGUCCAAAUUUUACCCUCUCUUCUAAAUGCAAUUGAAGCAUUAAGGCUUUUUAUUAUUGAGUGUAUGAAAUUGAAGAAUCAAUGAGUUUGGCCAAUCUUUUACAAAAUGAAAUCAUCUGACAUAAGGCAUCUGAGAAAAUGUUACGGCAAAGACAUGACUCAACAUGAAAGUAAUUUUGGAAUUAACUCAGAGUACAUAAAUGGAGGUCAGUUUUUUUUUUUUUUUGAAGUGUCUAAUUUGUCUGGAAANNNNNNNNNNNNNNNNNNNNNNNNNNNUUAUGUUUGUCAAAAAAAAAAAAAAACUCAAAGGCUUAUGUGAUAUGUAACUCAAAGGCUUACAUAAACGAAUCCGGUAAACAUGGAUGCAUGAUUUAUGUUAGAUUAUUUGAAUACUACAACAAUCACCAAUCAGAUUCAUGAGUUUUGAAAUCCAUUCUAAUUCUAAUAAACUGCAUGACUAGACUACAUACCAACGCUAACAGGUACACACCCUGCCCAAACACAGGUAUUAUGAGAGAAAGGUCUGUAGCAGCAUUCAUACUUCUAGAGAGAUGUGGCACAAAAACCUGUUUUGUUUCGUAUCUACAAGGAAAAAAAAAAAUAGUAGUUCUUAGCAAAACCUUGAAAUCAAUACUAUUCAACUGCCUUAUAGAAAACAGCAACAAGUUCUACCUGUCUUAGCAGUGUUUCUGCAGCUAAUUUAAAAGCUUGCUUCCCCACAAUGCCUUUUAUAAGCGGUAAAAAAUCAGUCAUGGGUAUCUCACCUCUCUAGAACAAAUGACACAAAAAAAGUUAGUAAUAUGGCAAUGCAUUGCACCCACAAACUGAAAUAAUUUUUAACACGAAAGUGAGGGAAAAAGAAAUGAUGGUGAAACUGGUUUGGGGUAACAGACCUGAUAUUUAUCACCUAAAAAGUAAAGGUCAAUGGUUCUCUCUAUGCCAAUUUGGGGAGCCAAGAGAUGGAACAGCUGAUUAAAUGUCACCCCUGGGUCACUAGAAUUGAUUUGGAUUCCAGGUUGUUCAUUGACUUGUAGAUUGCUUUUCUACAAGGGAAAAAAAUAAAAAUAAAAACAGUUAUUAGCAUAACCUUGAAAUCAAUAUUCAACUGUCUUAUAGAAAAAUCAUGAGCAACACUGCAUAAACCAUCUACUCUACCUACCAGUUGUUUCACUUUUGCUGCUGCUGAUUUAAAUAUCUGCUCCCCCAAAAUGCAUGUCAUAACCGGUACAAAAGUAUCCUUGGGUAUUUCACAUCUCUAGAACAAAUGACACAAAAAAAUUAGUAAUAUGGCAAAGCCUUGCACCAAAAACUUAGAUAGCACUGAAGAGAGGAAAAAAUAAAUAUUGAGGCAACAUACCCUAUAUUGGUCGAAUAAAACUUUAAGUUCAAUGGCUUUGUCUGGAUCAGUUAUAUGGGGAAUCAAGAAAGGAUACAGCUGGUCAAAUGGCAAUUCCAGGUCACUCGAAUUGAUCUGGGUUGUAAACUGUUCAUUGACUGGGACCUGAUGAUUUUUAUUCUACAAGGAAAAAAAAUAAAGUUCUUAACAUAAACAUGAAAUGAAUAUUCAACUGCCUAAUAGAAAAAUCAUCAGCAAUAGUGCAUAAAACAUCUACUCUACCUGUUGUUCUUGCAGUUGCAUCGUUGCUGAAUAAACCAGCUGUAUCCCCACAAUGUCUGUCACACGCGCGAAAAAACUAGACUUGGGUAUUAUUUCAUCUCUCUAGAACAAAUGACAUAAAAAAAGUUAGUAAUACAAUAAUGUAAUAUGGCAAAACCUUGCACUACAAACUUAAAUAAUAUUUAACACAGAAGAUAUGGAAAGAGAAAUGAUGGUAAAAGCGGUUUGGGGGUAAGAGACCUUAUAUUUCUCGAAUAAAGCUUGAAUUUCAUCGACUUUGUCUUGGUCAAUAUGGGGAAACAAGAAAGGGAACAACCGGUCAUAUGGCACCACAGGUAUAGCAGGUAAACUUUCAUNNNNNNNNNNNNNNAACAUUUAAAACGUCCACAUAAUAAUUAAUAGAAUUCAAAUAAUGAUGCUUAGGGUUAGGGUAAAACGAAAAACACACACAAAAUGAAAUCUAAAGACAAUAAUAAACAUGAGCAUUGAAAUGUAUAGAAUCAAAACAUAAAAUAUAGGAAACAAACGAACGAACGAGCGAAGUCACUCACAUAAAUUGAUAAGCCGAACGCGAUAAGAACCUUCGAAUUUGAAACAGACGAAACGGAAUUUCAAACAGAAGGAGACUUUAGUAGCGGUGGGGUUUUUUAUUUUCUGCCUUUUGUUCAACCUAUUCUUCUUGCGUUUCAGAUAAAUAAAUAAAUAAAUAAAAUAUAAUAAUAAUAUUUCAUCCGUUUUUAAAUUACUUGUCAUUUAAAAAAAAUAAAAAAAAUAAAUUUUAACAUUUUAUCUUCCUAUUACACACUUUAUUUAAUUCACCAAUAAUUUUAUUUUUAAUUUUUUUGCAGACACUUUAUCUUUCCAAUAAAUUUAAUAUACUAUGUACCCAAAAAAUAAAAAAUUAAUAUGUUAUGAACGAAAAAAAACUUUAGUUUUCAAAAUAUAUAUUAAAUCUUUUACGGUUUCAACAACUACUCAUAAAUAUUUGAAAUUUAUAUGAGGGUAUAAUAGACAAAAUAUAAUCUUAAAUUAUCAAAACGAUAAGUAAUUUGAAACAUUUUUUUUCUAAAACGAUAAGUAAUUCGAAACAGAUGGAAUAAAUGAUUAAUAUUACUAUAAUGAAAAUAAAUUUUACAAAGUUUACGGUUGAAUUGAAAAUUUAUAUUAUAUGAAUCAUUCAUAAAGAAAUUUAGAAAAAAUUGAACAUUAUUCGAAAUAUGAAUUGUUAUUGAGACCUAUCAAGAUUAUCAGUAUUUAAUAAAAACCAUAAACCAUUAAUCUUAAUAGGUUUUAAUAAUAUAUGAAAUGAUUUUCAAUUUCUCUACCAAAAUUUAUGGAUUUAUGGAUGAUCUAUCUGAUAUAAACUUUCAAUCAAACGUUGGAUUUUUUAAAAUUCAUUUUCGUUGUAAUAGUAUUGAUCAUUUGUCCACCAUGGACCACUUAGAAUUUUCCAUUGUAAUAAGAAAUAAAUGUCCACAAAUCCUAGCUGAACUAAACAGACAGAAAUGCCGAAAUUAUUAGUGUCAGACGCCAUGAUCGGGGUUCGAACUUUGGUCUCUCCACUUUAUAGGUGUGAAUUUUCAAUAACUUUAUUAUUUCAUCUAUCAAACAUAAAUAAAUAAAUAUACAGAGGACAAAGAAGCUCACUUUUUUCUUUUUUUUUCUUUCCGAUUUUGACCCUCUACACAUUGAAAAUUGAAAUGUUCUUAACCUCCAACAUAGUAACGGAACUGGAUCCUCUCCUUCCCUAACUCUCUCCUUCUCUCUCCUUCUCAAAAUCUGGACAGUUAGAUCAAUCCCAUGGUUUAAAAUUAAAACAGAAUAAAUUAAAAAAUAAGACAAUAUGCUUCUCAAUAUGCUUCUCAUAUCGUGAUUGUGUAUUCGACGACACCACCACCAACCCCAACUUGGACGAUUCUUAUUCACUGUAACUGGAAUGCAGCGGCGGAUACACGGUGUUCGGCGAUGCAACGGCAGUGUUCGACAAUGAAGAAAAAAUGCACAGGACAGGUUUGCGGCGGUAGUCGGCAAUGAGCGGCGGGUUGCCGGUCUCAGAGAUCGAUGUUGGACGGUAUUGUUGAGUUUGAGAAGUAUGACAAUUGAAGAUGAAGAUCUGGCUGCAAGAUCUGGUUUUUAUUACUGUUUUUAGUUUUUUCUUUAAAAACAAAACUUGUUACAGAUAGCAGUAAAACACAUUGCAAAUUAAUUUCACAAUGAGUAAUGAGAGAUUUUGUGAAUGAAUCCAGAGAUUGCAGCCACUAAAUUUGUUGUGGAAGAUUUUCAAAAAAAAAAAUUGCUGUGGAAGAUGAAGGGGAAAAAGGUUUGCUGUGAAAAGAUGCAGGGUAUUUUGUUUUGGAAGAAUCCUCUCAUCCAUUAGAUUGAUCUAACGGUUCAGAUUUGGAGAAGGAGAGAGAAGGAGGUAGUUAGGGAAGGAGACAAUCCGGAUCCCAUAGUAACUAACUAGACUGUUUCUUUUUUUUUUUUGUUCUAUAGAACAAGUGGUGAAUAGUGAAUACCACUAAAACUCACACUGAUUUGGUAAACAUCACCUAAACCAAGUAGAAAUGCAAAUUAAAAUUAAAAUCAUCAUGAAAUGAUACAGAACAAAUAAAUAAACAAAGCUGAAUGAAAAGAAGCAGUGACAGUCAAUCACUUGGUAAACGUUGCCAACAAUUCAUCCAAAACAGAAGCAUCAACAUCAGCAAACAAUUCAAAGGGUUCAUUUGAUUUGGAAGCAUCAGGGUUUUGUUGGCAUAAAGUUGGACAUGGCCAAAGCAUAACAUAGAAUUGAAUGGAAUUUUCUAGAAACUACCCUUCUCAGUUGGUAAACAACAUCAUGGCUUGUCCAUUGCCAGAAAUGCCCCUCCUAAAACUCAUUUAUUUUUUGCUCAAGACGAAGCUCAGAAUGUGAAGGAUAUACAUAUACUAGAUGAAUAUCAAAGGAUUUCGGGCCAGAAGAUCAACAGGGAUAAGUCUGAAAUGGUUUUUAGUCCAAAUACUCUAAGACAAUACAAGGGCCAGUAUACAACAUCACUGAUAGUAUCACCAAGUAUCUAGGACUGCCUACUCAAAUAGGCAGGUCUAAAAAUCAAGUUUUUCAAUUUUUAAUUUAUAGAAUAUGGGAAAAGCUUAAGGGUUGGAAGGAAAAUAAGUUAUCUUUUGCUGGCAGGGGUGUGCUCAUUAGAGCUGUAGCUCAGGCUAUUCCUACAUAUGUUAUGAGUUUCUUUCAAAUUCCUCAGAAUAUAUGGCACCAGUAGUAUAACUUGUCGGCUGUUGAUGACUGAUGCGAAAUGCUUUAUUUAUUUAUUUAUUUAUUUAUUUAUUUAUUUAUGUUUUUAAGCUUCUUUGGAAUCAGCUUAACACUCAACUACAUGUAGACUUCGCAAAGACAUCGUGGGGCAUAUGGCGCAAACAAAAUCUCCAACUUUGUUGGAAUGUGCUCAAAGUGUCCUCCAUUCAUGGCAGCAAGUUCACAACCAUCGUAGCAUGUGUAGAAGGAAUGAAGGAUGUAAUCUCUGAACAAAAUAUUGAAUUACUUGUUUUUUUAUUGUCAUGUUGGUGGUAGGUUAUGCGUGAGUGUAAUGUCUUUUUUUAAUCGAAUUUGUAUUUAAACUAGCAAAUAUUGGAAAUAGAACAUGAAAGAAUGAUUUGAUAGGGUGAAAGAGCAACAAUGAUUGGCAAUUUUGAAUCGAAUUGUAUAUGUUUUGUUUCACCCUCGGAUAUAUCACAUCAUAUUCAGAUGUAUUAUUCGGACCCAGAUUGCUUAGAGUCAUGCAGUUAGGGAACAAUCUGGCCGUCCGUUUAAGAUUUGACAGUUCAGAUAUAAAGAUUUAAUCAAACUAUAUAACUGUUUUAUAUCUAGACCCGCCUGAUUAAAAUUAGACUGUCAGAUUUUCCAUUUUGUCAAAAAAUCCAUGUUAUUCACUUUAGACACAAGUCUUUCAUGAUUUUGUCCUUUAUAAAAGACGUAUGUUAAAUUGAAGAUUGUAUAUUGCAUAUAAACUAUUCUUAAUCUUGACUAUUAAACAAUGUGAGACUUUAAAAUGUACAUUAUUGUAUGCAGUAUGUAUGUCCAUAAUGUUGGAAAAAGCUUGGUUUGGAAUUUUGGAUGCCAGUUGGUUGUUUUCUCAAUGAAAGGAAUGUAAAAGAAAGGGAUGUGGAAAAUAACUAAAUAAUUAGGACCAUUAUAUAUUUUAGGCAGGGAAUUCAACACCAUAACAGCACUAAACUACAAUAGCUAGUGCCAUAACCUACCUAAUAUUUGUUUUGGUGUUCUUAACCUCAUUCAAACUUUAUAAGAACUAACAGUAUGAUUAGAAACAGGCAAGAAUAUGAUGAUAAUCUUGUAGUGAAUAAAAUAUUUCGAUUAUCUAUUGAGAUUGAGAACAAUGAAAGGAACUAUUAUUACAAGUUACAACACAACAACUUGCCACAACAAUUCCAAGGCAUGCAGAUUAUUCAGUUUAAAUGCAUAAUAAUCACUUGUGAUAGUAAAAUGGAAGGUUGCAAAAAGCUUUCAACAACAAUAACACUCAUUCAACUCAACAAAGAUUCCACAUACAAGUUAUUACUUCACAGUGUAUCAUCUAAAUUCUUGAAAGUUAACAUGACCAGUUGCUUGAGCGUGCUCCGCUGCUUCCU